UACGUAGGCGGAAAAUUAAGUCAGUGGUGAAAUCCUGCAGCUUAACUGUAGAACUGUCAUUGAUACUGGUUUUCUUGAAUAUAGUUGAGGUAGGCGGAAUGUGUAAUGUAGCGGUGAUAUGCUUAGAUAUUACACAGAACACCGAUUGCGAAGGCAGCUUACUAAGCUAUGAUUGACGCUGAGGUACGAAAGCGUGGGGAGCGAACAGGAUUAGAUACCCUGGUAGUCC
RNAcentral lists this ribosomal RNA (229 nucleotides) under uncultured bacterium. RNAcentral describes it as "partial 16S ribosomal RNA". It matches the Rfam family "Bacterial small subunit ribosomal RNA", at positions 568 to 796 of the family's 1533-position model. The record is from RNAcentral.